GAUAAACGCUGGCGGCGUGCCUAACACAUGCAAGUCGAACGCGCCCGCAGGGGCAACCCUGUGGGUGAGUGGCGGACGGGUGAGUAACACGUGGGUUAUCUACCUUGAGGUGAGGAAUACCGGCGAGAAAUCGCCGACAAUACCGCAUAGGUUCGGAACCUUCCGAACAAAGUCCCUUUGGGACGUCUCAAGAUGAGCCUGCGUCCGAUUAGCUUCGUUGGUGGGGUAAAAGCCUACCAAGGCGACGAUCGGUAGCUGGUCUGAGAGGACGAUCAGCCACACUGGGAUUGAGAACGGCCCAGACUCCUACGGGGGGCAGCAGUGAGGAAUUUUCGUCAAUGGGGGCAACCCUGAACGAGCAACGCCGCGUGCAGGAAGAAGGUUUUCGGAUCGUAAACUGCUUUUCUUGGGGAAGAGAAGGGACGGUACCCAAGGAAGAAGCCCCGGCUAACUACGUGCCAGCAGCCGCGGUAAUACGUAGGGGGCAAGCGUUGUCCGGAUUUAUUGGGCGUAAAGCGCACGCAGGCGGUCUUUCACGUUUUGAGUGACAGGUGGUGGCUUAACUGCCACAGGCCUCAAAAUACGGGAAGACUUGAGGGCUUGAGAGGGAUACGGAAUUCCAGGUGGAGCGGUGAAAUGCGUAGAGAUCUGGAAGAACACCAAAGGCGAAGGCAGUAUCCUGGCAAGUCACUGACGCUCAGGUGCGAAAGCUAGGGGAGCGAACGGGAUUAGAUACCCCGGUAGUCCUAGCCGUAAACGAUGACCACUAGACGUGGGGGGUAUCGACCCCUUCCGUGUCGCAGCUAACGCAUGAAGUGGUCCGCCUGGGGAGUACGGUCGCAAGAUUAAAACUCAAAGGAAUUGACGGGGACCCGCACAAGCAGCGGAGCGUGUGGUUUAAUUCGAUGCAACGCGAAGAACCUUACCAAGGCUUGACAUGGAUGUGCACCAGCCGUAAUGGGCUGUCCCGAGAGGGCGCAUUCACAGGUGCUGCAUGGCUGUCGUCAGCUCGUGUCGUGAGAUGUUGGGUUAAGUCCCGCAACGAGCGCAACCCUUGCCCCGUGUUACUAACAGGUAAAGCUGAGGACUCUCGGGGGACUGCCGGCGUCAAGCCGGAGGAAGGUGGGGACGACGUCAAGUCAUCAUGGCCCUUACGUCCAGGGCGACACACGUGCUACAAUGGCCGAGACAGAGGGCGGCUAACCCGCGAGGGGGAGCGAAUCCCAGAAACUCGGUCUAAGUUCGGAUCGCAGUCUGCAACUCGACUGCGUGAAGCCGGAAUCGCUAGUAAUCGCGGAUCAGCCACGCCGCGGUGAUACGUUCCCGGGCAUUUACUCACU
RNAcentral lists this ribosomal RNA (1340 nucleotides) under uncultured bacterium. Its description in RNAcentral is "bacterial SSU rRNA". It matches the Rfam family "Bacterial small subunit ribosomal RNA", at positions 28 to 1391 of the family's 1533-position model. The record is from RNAcentral.